AGUGUCAUCGUGUACAAGGUCCACUCCUGACUCUGAUUAACAGUAACUGCAGAAUCAGAGUCCUGCAGUGAUGUGUGAACUCUACCCCACACGGAGCAGAGGGAUGACCACUUCCCUGUGUGCACUCGCUGGUCUCUGUCAUGUUGAAGAUGCAGCAAAUCCCUUGUCACACUGAGAGGUAAACAACUCCUACCCAGUGUGAACCCUCUGGUGUAUCAGCAGGAGGGAUGAAUCACUGAAACCCUUUUCACACACUGAGCAUCUGAAUGGCCUUUCCCCAGAGUGGGCUCACUGGGGUCUCAGCAGAUCAGAAGACUGGGCGAAUCCUUUCCCACACAUGGAGCAGGUGAAUGGCCUCUCCCCGGUGGGAACGCACUGAUGUCUCUGCAGGAGAGAGAUUUGAAUGAAUCCUUUCUAACACAUGGAGCAGGUGAAGAGUCUAAAUCCUCUGUGACCUCUCUGGUGCCUCAGCAGAUUGCAAGAGUGAGUAAAUCCCUUCCCAUACAUGGGGCAGGUGACCAGCCUCUUCCCAGUGUGACUGUGUCAGUGAGUGUCCCGCUGGGAGGGGUAAGUGAAUUCCUUCCCACAAUCCCCACAUUUACACAACCUUGCCCUGGUCCUAUCACAUUGGUGUCUUCCCAAAUCACAUGACCAGUUAAAUCCUCAACCACAUGCACAACACGAAUGGUUUCUCUGGGCUGGGAAUGCUGCUUUCCCCUUCCGUAUUAUGUAUAAUGUUCAGGACCUGCGGAAUUGGGUGUGUUAAAUGUGAUGUUAAAGCUGAGUUUCCCAUCUGUGAACUCUCUCUGUAAAACAAAUUUAUCUCCUUCAUUACUACAGCUCCCAACACCAGCUCUCCCUUUAGUUCUCCUGAAAUUCUAAAUUUGGACUAAUGCAAUAAUGUGGCUUUCUCUCACUUGUUUCUGAAAGUAAAUUAGGAUGAUUUUGAAUAACUGGACUUUACUAGCCAAACUCGUUCCUACUCUAUCAUAUACGACCUUUAACCCAUGGGAAAUGUGUUACCAGCUUCGAUGACCGUUAUAAUGUUCUGACCACUUCUAUGGAGUCGGUAUAAGUUGAUUCUAACAAUUAUCAAUAGAUCGUAUAUAAACAGGAUGCCCACACAACAGUGUGCGCUCUGACACUCAAUGCCUGUAAGUUGUUAUUUUUCUUAAAGCCCCACAUGUGUCUGGCAAUCUGGCAAUACAAUUGAAGAUAGUUUAUACAGUAACCUUACAGUCUUAGUUGCCAAUUCCAAUCCAUGAAGCAGUCAGUAACAUUCCCCAGUGAAUUGAAUUCUAUUAGCAGCUUUGUCCUGUCAGGAGAGAUUGAGGAUCAUGAAGCUGUCUUCUCUGGAGGACUGAAAUAUGAAACACUUGAAAUGAACAAAAUUCUUCAAGAGCUCAAUAGGAUAGAUAUAGGACGAUGUGCACCCUGGCUGAUAUGUCUUGAAUGAAAUAAGCACUAACUGCGGUGUCUUUACACAGCAUCCCUUUAGCUGCAUAAAUGUUCAAGAUUUAUUUGCUGCUCUAAUUCCACUCUCUUAUUGAAUCCCAUUUGUAACUGCUGGAAUGUUGGUUGCCGUGCAAAUUGGUAACAUUUGAUUCAAUCUAUCCUAAAACCUCUCUGUAUCUGUGUCUCGCUUUUGUUCACCAAGACCCUCAUUCAAUCUGACCUCUUUACAAACCCUGCCCUGAUAUUUCCCUAGAGGGCUCAGAAUUAAAUGUCCACAGAAUUGUUACUGCACAAAAGGAGGCUGAUUGGCUCAUCAGCUCUCCAAAGGAUCACCUCACCGAAUGCUAUUUUUCUACCUUUACCCCAU
Chiloscyllium plagiosum (whitespotted bambooshark) is the source of this 1822-nucleotide non-coding RNA. The record is from RefSeq and is a predicted model, not a curated record. NCBI's taxonomy places the organism in Eukaryota, Metazoa, Chordata, Chondrichthyes, Orectolobiformes, Hemiscylliidae.